CCCUUAGAUGUUCUGGGCCGCACGCGCGCUACACUGACAGAGCCAACGAGUUCUUUCCCUUGGCCGGAAGGUCUGGGUAAUCUUGUUAAACUCUGUCGUGCUGGGGAUAGAGCAUUGCAAUUAUUGCUCUUCAACGAGGAAUGCCUAGUAAGCGCGUGUCAUCAGCACGCGUUGAUUACGUCCCUGCCCUUUGUACACACCGCCCGUCGCUACUACCGAUUGAAUGGCUCAGUGAGGCCUUCGGACUGGCUCGAGGAGGUUGGCAACGACCACCUCAAGCCGGAAAGUUGGUCAAACUCGGUCAUUUAGAGGAAGUAAAANUCGUAACA
RNAcentral lists this ribosomal RNA (329 nucleotides) under uncultured eukaryote. RNAcentral's name for it is "partial 18S ribosomal RNA". It matches the Rfam family "Eukaryotic small subunit ribosomal RNA", at positions 1470 to 1796 of the family's 1831-position model. The record is from RNAcentral.